Molecule: ribosomal RNA, 512 nt
Filed under: uncultured Verrucomicrobiota bacterium
Lineage: Bacteria; Pseudomonadati; Verrucomicrobiota
Description: bacterial SSU rRNA
Rfam family: Bacterial small subunit ribosomal RNA
Source: RNAcentral
CGGACGCCGCGUGGGGGAGUGAAGGGUUCGAUCCGUAAACCCCUAGUCAUUGUGAACAAUGGUUAUAUUUAAAAGAUGAUAACUCGAUAGUAAUGAAAGAGGAAGGGACGGCUAACUCUGUGCCAGCAGCCGCGGUAAUACAGAGGUCCCGAGCGUUGUUCGGAUUCACUGGGCGUAAAGGGUGCGUAGGUGGCAUGGUAAGUUUGAUGUGAAAGCUCAGGGCUUAACCCUGAAAUGGCAUUGAAUACUGCUGUGCUGGAGGUUUGGAGGGGGGACUGGAAUUCUCGGUGUAGCAGUGAAAUGCGUAGAUAUCGAGAGGAACACCAGUGGCGAAGGCGAGUCCCUGGACAACACCUGACACUGAGGCACGAAAGCCGGGGGAGCAAACAGGAUUAGAUACCCUGGUAGUCCCGGCCCUAAACGGUGCGCAUUUGCUGUAGGAGGAAUCGACCCCUUCUGUGGCGAAGCUAACGCGAUAAAUGCGCCGCCUGGGGAGUACGGUCGCAAGAUUA